RNAcentral lists this ribosomal RNA (1089 nucleotides) under Triticum aestivum (bread wheat). RNAcentral describes it as "partial small subunit ribosomal RNA". Lineage: Eukaryota; Viridiplantae; Streptophyta; Magnoliopsida; Poales; Poaceae. The record is from RNAcentral.
AUGGCCACCAUGGCUCUUCGUGCUGCUGCGACCGGUUUCCUCCGGCCGGCCGCUGUUCCGAUGUGCGAGGGCUACACAUGCCUUGUCCCUAUGCUUUCAGCCGGAUCUGCUGAUGACAUCUACAACACCUUCCGUUUCGGGGCGUGCAGCGCAACCCAAGAGCUGGAAGACCCCCCCUGCCCUUUCAACUUCGGGGAGACGCUCCGUGAAGCUGGCACGAAGCUGAGCGAAUCUGCAUUUAUUCCUGUUGACCAUCUGCCUAAGCUGCGCCCAGAGGAUAUUUAUCAUAUCCUGGGCGGUGGUGCUGUCGUCGCGGGCUUGGUGAUGAUGUCCGAGGGAGAGAAAAAUGAUGAUAAAGAUGGGCAAACAUCUGAGAUCAUACACGAUCUAAAGGAGAAGCUGAGUGAAGUUACCGAGAGAGCGGAGAACCUCGCUGCUGAGAAUAAGAGGCUCCUUGAAGAUGUGGACAAGGUCAGGGAAGCUAACAAGCAACAUGGAUAUGAGGUCUGGAUGGAUACCAUUCGAUCCAUUCAUGAAAAGGAACUUGCUAGGCUUGAGGCUGGCAGUGACAAGGAGGGUGAUGGGAGUGGCAAUGACAACAAGGGCAAUAAGAGUGGCAAGAAGGACAAUGAGUGUGACAAGAAGGGCAAUGAGAGUGACAAGAAGGGUGGUAAGAGUGAUAAGAAGGAUGAAAAGCCGCUCGCAAAGAAGCUGUUAGAACUGUUGAUGGCACCAUCCACCGUGGAAACUUGGUACAAGGAUAUCACCUCCAACUGGGCCAAGUGGAGUUACUUAUUUGGCAUGGUCCCAGUUUUCUAUGCUCUCAAAAUGGCAGAUUAUGCAAAGAUUUUGAAGGGCGAUCUUAGCGGUAUAGAUCCUCGGGUUGAGGUGGUGGAGAGCAGGGCUUGCCCAUGUGGCAUUCCCUGGCCGCAGAGAUGCUCUAGAUGUGGCGGAGGACUCCCAAACUUCGUUGGCGAUUCGGGACUCGUCAGUUUCCCUGGUAUUCCAGGCGUCAAGGGCGAAACCUUCACAGCCACCACUCCCACUCCAGUCCCAAGGGCGACAUCUCCUCGGCCACCGCAGCCGUGA